This 253-nucleotide ribosomal RNA is filed under the name uncultured bacterium. RNAcentral describes it as "partial 16S ribosomal RNA". It matches the Rfam family "Bacterial small subunit ribosomal RNA", at positions 524 to 776 of the family's 1533-position model. The record is from RNAcentral.
UACAGAGGUCCCAAGCGUUGUUCGGAUUCACUGGGCGUAAAGGGUGCGUAGGUGGUCAGGCAAGUCUAACGUGAAAUCCCAGGGCUUAACCCUGGAACUGCGUCGGAUACUGCUUGGCUUGAGGGUUGGAGGGGGGACUGGAAUUCUUGGUGUAGCAGUGAAAUGCGUAGAUAUCAAGAGGAACACCAGUGGCGAAGGCGAGUCCCUGGACAACUCCUGACACUGAGGCACGAAAGCUAGGGGAGCAAACAGG